This 486-nucleotide ribosomal RNA is filed under the name uncultured bacterium. RNAcentral's name for it is "partial 16S ribosomal RNA". It matches the Rfam family "Bacterial small subunit ribosomal RNA", at positions 30 to 507 of the family's 1533-position model. The record is from RNAcentral.
AUUGAACGCUAGCGGCAUGCCUUACACAUGCAAGUCGAACGGCAGCACGGGUGCUUGCACCUGGUGGCGAGUGGCGAACGGGUGAGUAAUACAUCGGAACAUGUCCUGUAGUGGGGGAUAGCCCGGCGAAAGCCGGAUUAAUACCGCAUACGAUCUACGGAUGAAAGCGGGGGACCUUCGGGCCUCGCGCUAUAGGGUUGGCCGAUGGCUGAUUAGCUAGUUGGUGGGGUAAAGGCCUACCAAGGCGACGAUCAGUAGCUGGUCUGAGAGGACGACCAGCCACACUGGGACUGAGACACGGCCCAGACUCCUACGGGAGGCAGCAGUGGGGAAUUUUGGACAAUGGGCGAAAGCCUGAUCCAGCAAUGCCGCGUGUGUGAAGAAGGCCUUCGGGUUGUAAAGCACUUUUGUCCGGAAAGAAAUCCUUGGCCCUAAUACAGUCGGGGGAUGACGGUACCGGAAGAAUAAGCACCGGCUAACUACGUG